RNAcentral lists this ribosomal RNA (331 nucleotides) under uncultured Pseudomonadota bacterium. Its description in RNAcentral is "bacterial SSU rRNA". It matches the Rfam family "Bacterial small subunit ribosomal RNA", at positions 568 to 898 of the family's 1533-position model. Lineage: Bacteria; Pseudomonadati; Pseudomonadota. The record is from RNAcentral.
UGCGUAGUCGGUUAUCUAAGUCAGGUGUGAAAUCCCCGGGCUCAACCUGGGAAUUGCAUUUGAUACUGGAUAGCUAGAGUUCGGCAGAGGGAAGUGGAAUUUCUGGUGUAGCGGUGAAAUGCGUAGAUAUCAGAAGGAACAUCAGUGGCGAAAGCGACUUCCUGGACCAGAACUGACGAUCAGGCACGAAAGCGUGGGGAGCAAACAGGAUUAGAUACCCUGGUAGUCCACGCCAUAAACGAUGACAACUAGACGUUGGGGACAUAUGGUUCACAGUGUCGCAGCUAACGCGUUAAGUUGUCCGCCUGGGGAGUACGGCCGCAAGGUUGAA